AAGAGCGUCGAGAAUUACCCAUGUGUGUGGCACGUGACCUUUACUUAAAUUUUUUCCGCUCCGCGUCUUCAAAUUUUAAUUUAAUCGGUGAACCGCCAAACCAAAUUAAAACCCUAAAAAAAAAAGAAAACACCUUCAUUCACCUCUGUCAUCAGUUGUUCGAUCUGAGAAUCCUUCAACCUCCAUUGAAAUCUCAAUUCACUUCAACCCUCCAUUGAAAUCGCAUCUCUUACGCCACCUUGAACCCUCGAUCUCAAUUGCGGAUUUUCACCAGGGGAUAACAAACGAACAGAAGACUCUAGCGAAGAGCAAAAGGCUUGUGUCAAGUUGAUUUUCACUCCUGUAGACGAACCAGUCUUACCUCAUUGCAUAUGUGGAUUGGCUGUGGGCAACAGUUGCUGCAGCAGUUAAGUGGCCCGAUUCAUAAUCUGCCUAAGAUAUCAUAGGGACGAGAUGAGUUAUCGUAGCAAAGAAACUAGGAUUGCAGCUCUAAAUGAGUCUCGUAAUGCAUCUGAAGUUCCUCCAAAAAAGGCUCAAAGGGCAUAAACAUCACAGUCAGCAUCACAGUCAGCAUAUCCAUACAAAAAUCAGUCCACUAUCCCAGUUCCCUCGCCCUCACUCAAAAACACAAGGCCUGCAUCAUCACAGUCAGUCCAUCCACCAAAAAAUCACCCAACGAUUUCAGUGCCCUUGCCCUCACUCCAAAAUAUAAUUAAGGCCGGUAUCAUCACAGUCAGUCCAUCCACCAAAAAAUCACCCCAAGAUUCCAGUUCCCUCGCCCUCACUCCAAAAUACAAGGGGAACUAAUGACAGACGGGGGCCAUUUAAUCCUCAAAUUACCACUCCCACUCAACAUGGGACUUCAUCUUCCACUACCACUAGCAACCCUAAUUGGAAAAAUCCACUCACUGUACCAACAACUAGUGAACCUAAGGUUUCAUCGAAAGGGCCAUCAAGGUACAACCCUACUAUAGACAAGACUUUUGAGUCACCUAAUAUCCCAACUGAAAAUCCAACAAAAGUCCCACAUUCUAGGCUGUCAGAACCACCCAAGCACCCUUCCACUUUGUCUCUUACUUCUCAGCUACCAUAUGAACUUGCUAAACAGUCUACAUAUUCGACAUCUGCUGCUUUUGAUGCUAGUAUAUUAGAAGAAACACAUGAUACUCGUACUGGGAGUUCACCAACAACACUUGAGGAUGAACAUGCAUGCCAUAUAAGUGAUAGAAAAGCAACAGAGAAAUCCAAAGAAUCAUGUGAUGGAAAGGAAAAAAAGAUCAUUAAAUGAUCUAAGUCUCGAUGUCAUGAGUCGCUCCCAGAAUGGCUAAGUACAAUUAAGUAUGAUAACAAGGAGCAGGUUUUGACCAUAGAUGCUAAGGGUAAUCAAAAACUAGUUAGCGAUUCAACCAAUGGACGUCUGGAACAACAAUGCAAGCAUCAAAUAUGUUGUGCACUUCAAUGAACUAUACCAACCGAUUAGGAAAGGUGGGCAUAUUUUAGUCAGAUUCCUUAGAAGCAUCGCAAAGCAAGAAAGUUACUGCCCAAUUUCUGAAAAGACUUGGGGUCAACUGGACAACUGUUUUAAAGUUGACAUCAUCAAAUUGAUUAGAGACCACUUUGUGAUUCAUGAUGAUACAAAGUAUGAGGACCUAGCUCUCCAAUGUGUUAUAGAGUGUGGAGGCAAUAUAAAUAUGAAAUUAAAAAAAAGUACUACUUACCGGAUGUGAAAACAAUAGAAGACAUUAAAAAGUAUGUGCCACCUGGAGUUUCCAAGCAAGACUGGGUGAACUUGGUCAACUAUUGGGAUUCAUCCAAAGGGAAAAAAUUGUCUGAGUACGGAAAAGAGGCACGAGCAUCUCUGAGUCAUUUUCAUACUAAUGGUUGUACAAGCUUGCGAAUACACGUGCUGGUUAUGUAUAAAACCAUUAAUCCAACUACUCUACAACUUAUAACCGUGAUUUGUCUCUUUAUAAUAUUACAUGUAACUUGUUUCUAUGUAUAUAUUGCUACUUGUAAGAAGAUGAACAUGGAGAAGAUAUGAGCCUAAUAUAACUUUGGCUAGCUUGUUAUAAGAAGAAGGAUGGAACCUUUGUCGGCAACACAUUCACCGAAGACUUUUUGGAUGAUGUCAAGGCAAAUGAUGAAAGGUUAAAGCUUCUUUAUCCUCCUAGCUCCAAGUCAAUUAAGGAGAUCUAGAAUGAGGCUUUUGAGGCUACGCUAUAUAAUCGAGAAAUUCCUGAAAAACCACAAGGUUAUGGAUUUGGUGUUCGUAAAGGAGACAUUUAUGGGGUGCGUGGUGCACUCAGAAAAGCAGGGUUUGGUAAAGGAAAAAGGAGGGUAAUAGAAGUGGAUAGCAUCAAUGUCGAGGUAUCAAGCUUGAAGCAAGAGAAUAAGGAACUUCAUAAGAAAAAUGAAGAGAUAAAAGACAAGUGCAAUGAAAAUGGAAAGCUGAUUAGGACAAUGACAUCAUUGUUUUAUCAAGUUUUAGAAUCCAUUUGCAGUGGAGACGCUUCAACACAACUUAUAGACGCUGCACAAACCGCCUUGCGUAUGGCUAACCCUCCGGUCAAUGAUGCAUUUGAAGAAGAUGAUGGUGGUGGAAGAAAAGAAUCAAGGGAUGAUGCAUAACUUCUUAAACUAUGAAGCUCAUAUUCUUGAAGUUGUAGGCUUUAAUUCGAGUGGCCUUUGUUUUGAAGAUGACAUCUAUCUAUCUAUCUAUACUAUAUAUUAAAAGGCGUUUCAAAAGAAGUUUACAUGCCACAUGGCGCUCUGCUUAUUAGUCAUUAACUCUAUGCGAUUUUCACAUACAUGAAAAAAAUGAGAAAUAUGGUUUGCAUAAGGAUUGAACCCCUAA
This is a long non-coding RNA of Spinacia oleracea (spinach), 2854 nucleotides long. RefSeq lists it as uncharacterized. NCBI's taxonomy places the organism in Eukaryota, Viridiplantae, Streptophyta, Magnoliopsida, Caryophyllales, Amaranthaceae. The record is from RefSeq and is a predicted model, not a curated record. The transcript is spliced from 9 exons.